GGCCCUGUAGUGUAAUGGAAACACAAUAGUCUUUGAAACUAGAGAUUCCUGGUUCGAGCCCAGGCAGGGCCG
RNAcentral lists this transfer RNA (72 nucleotides) under marine sediment metagenome. RNAcentral describes it as "tRNA-Gln". It matches the Rfam family "tRNA". Rfam says of the family: Transfer RNA (tRNA) molecules are approximately 80 nucleotides in length. The record is from RNAcentral.